This 1343-nucleotide long non-coding RNA is filed under the name Oryctolagus cuniculus (rabbit). Its description in RNAcentral is "lncRNA (ENSOCUG00000036169.1)". The record is from RNAcentral. Lineage: Eukaryota; Metazoa; Chordata; Mammalia; Lagomorpha; Leporidae.
AUGAUAACCACCCGCGGUGGUCACAGCAAAGAUUCUGUUCUUGGAGAGGGUAAGAGCGGGAAGGCCAGGUCCUCGGGAGCCAGGAGCGGGAGCUGCAGCUCUGGCUGGAGGGCUCCUUGGGAGGUGGUGAGCACUCGGGCCUUGAGACACAGCCUGGGGCCCAUGCACCGCUUCCCAAAAGGCGCCGCCAGACCCCCGUGCUGGGCAUGGUGGUGGGAGGUUGGAAGAGGGGGAAGAAGUCUGAGGGCUAAGUGUCCCCCCACCCCAGCCCUGCCCCAGAGCCGCCUGGAAUUUCUGCUUGCAAUUGGAGGGAGCUUGGGAAGGCAGAGGACACUCCGAGGUGGGCCUGUCCCGGGCGGAGGAGGGAGCUGGCAUGCUUACAGAGCAGCAGAAGGUGGCAGGGGGAAGGAGGGGUGCCCCAGGUCCCAGAGGUGGCAGACCAGGUGGCUGCCUCCCAGGGGACCAGGGGAGCGGUGCUCGGUGAAUUCUGAAAGCAAUGGGGCGCCAUCGAUGGUCUGUGAGCUGGGGAGGCCCCUGUCAUGUCGGGAUUAUUCACAAGUGUGUGUGGGGGCAGGGCAGUAAGUGAGCGUGACCUCUGACCCUGCAGAGCCAGUGACUCCAAGCAGCAAGCAGAUUAGGGCUAGAUGGGGGAGGGGGAGGGCCUGUCAAGGUGACUGCCCCACAUGGCCGGGCGCCCAGAGAAGGGGUUAGGUCAACACCAAGAGCAACUGGAAUUGGUCCAGCUCGUCCUGGCUGUGCGUCCCUGGCAUCACCCAUCAAGCAACAACAAAGGUGGUGAUGGGAGCGCGGCCGCAGGCACAAAUCACGCACACCCAUCUUAUGCCGCUCCCUCUCCUCCCAGCGCUUUCCCUAGGUCCGUGCAUCUCAGCAAACCGCCCUGUGAAGCAGGCAGCACUGUCGUUGUCCCCAUUUGACAGAUAAAGACACAGAGGCCCAGCAGCUGGACGGCUUCUCCAGGGACGAAGCGGCCGAGCCGGGGUGUGAGCCCAGCCCCUCAGCCCCUCCACUGCAGGGCUGGGCACGGGGCACCAGGAACAGGUGCCCAUCCGGAGCAGCCCGGCCGGUCCUCUCCCCCAGGAAGCCUCGGCUGCCGCCCUCGCCUGCUGCCGGCUGAGGCUGCCGUCUUGUGAAGCCAGAACCGCAGCAAGAUUCUCCUAUUAAUUUAUUGGUAUUGCUAAUUAAACAUCAUAUUCGCAAAUGUAAAUUUCCUAAUGGCCUCCCUUCCAUUUCCGUAGUUUCCUAAAAGAGCCUUCUUGUUUCGCUGGCAGUGGAAGCCAAUUACUUCUCACUCUACGGGGGCUGCGGCUGGCGCGGGGGUCACC